Molecule: ribosomal RNA, 719 nt
Filed under: uncultured Enterobacterales bacterium
Lineage: Bacteria; Pseudomonadati; Pseudomonadota; Gammaproteobacteria; Enterobacterales
Description: bacterial SSU rRNA
Rfam family: Bacterial small subunit ribosomal RNA
Source: RNAcentral
AGUCGAACGGUAACAGGAAGCAGCUUGCUGCUUCGCUGACGAGUGGCGGACGGGUGAGUAAUGUCUGGGAAACUGCCUGAUGGAGGGGGAUAACUACUGGAAACGGUAGCUAAUACCGCAUAACGUCGCAAGACCAAAGAGGGGGACCUUCGGGCCUCUUGCCAUCGGAUGUGCCCAGAUGGGAUUAGCUAGUAGGUGGGGUAACGGCUCACCUAGGCGACGAUCCCUAGCUGGUCUGAGAGGAUGACCAGCCACACUGGAACUGAGACACGGUCCAGACUCCUACGGGAGGCAGCAGUGGGGAAUAUUGCACAAUGGGCGCAAGCCUGAUGCAGCCAUGCCGCGUGUAUGAAGAAGGCCUUCGGGUUGUAAAGUACUUUCAGCGGGGAGGAAGGCGACAGGGUUAAUAACCCUGUCGAUUGACGUUACCCGCAGAAGAAGCACCGGCUAACUCCGUGCCAGCAGCCGCGGUAAUACGGAGGGUGCAAGCGUUAAUCGGAAUUACUGGGCGUAAAGCGCACGCAGGCGGUCUGUCAAGUCGGAUGUGAAAUCCCCGGGCUCAACCUGGGAACUGCAUUCGAAACUGGCAGGCUAGAGUCUUGUAGAGGGGGGUAGAAUUCCAGGUGUAGCGGUGAAAUGCGUAGAGAUCUGGAGGAAUACCGGUGGCGAAGGCGGCCCCCUGGACAAAGACUGACGCUCAGGUGCGAAAGCGUGGGGAG